This is a long non-coding RNA of Ixodes scapularis (black-legged tick), 158 nucleotides long. RefSeq lists it as uncharacterized. The record is from RefSeq and is a predicted model, not a curated record. The transcript is spliced from 3 exons. Lineage: Eukaryota; Metazoa; Arthropoda; Arachnida; Ixodida; Ixodidae.
GCAAGCCGUUCUCUUUAAGCCACAUGGAAUGUUCCAUGAGGCUGUAUUAAAUAUAUUGCAGGUCCCAGCAACAAAAAUUGCAAGCCGCUCUGUUCAAGCCGCGUGGAGUGCUCUCUGAGUUCCCAUCUACACCAAGCGGGUUGACCCACCGUCAGACC